This 98-nucleotide small nuclear RNA is filed under the name Sciurus vulgaris (Eurasian red squirrel). Lineage: Eukaryota; Metazoa; Chordata; Mammalia; Rodentia; Sciuridae. The record is from RNAcentral.
AUGCUCCCUUCCGCAGCACAUAUACUAAAAUUGAAAUGAUACAGAGAAGAUUAGCAUGGCCCCUGUGCAUGUGCAUUCAUGAAGCGUUCCAUAUUUUU